AAGCCUCAGAAAUUAGAUGCUAGUGCUAAGCAUCUCAGCAAGGCUGAUGAUUGUAGGAAAAUCAUUGCUGCUUCUGUUUACAGUCUUAAAGUUGAAGAAAGAAAGAAAGAUUGAAAUGCCUCAAUCACUCAGUGAGAGAAUGGAAUUUUCAAAUUUUAAUACUAAAGAAGAGGAACUGUCUCCUGCUCAGUAUGAAAUAAAUUAAGACAACACUGAUAUUAUGAUCAUUGAUUUGGAGAAAGAUAAAAAUAACGAGAAUUGUGAAACUACUAAAGAAAUUAACUUUGCUAACGAGACAAAGAAAGAUAAUUCAAUAGGUUAUUAGAUCUAUCACAUGUUGCAAAAGUUAUAAUACUUAUAAUAAUUUGUUGUAAACAAGGAAAAAGACGAGUGAUAUGGGAUGAUUAUUUUUGUGGUUUCUUAACAUCUGUGGACUUUACUCAUGCUCAACCAAUUAUAAAAUGAUUCUUUUGAUUCUAAUUGAGGACAAAUUGCAGACAAACUUCCUGUGGACUUUACUUAUGCUCAACCAAUUAUAAAAUGAUUCUUUUGAUUCUAAUUGAGGACAAAUUGC
Amphimedon queenslandica is the source of this 574-nucleotide long non-coding RNA. RefSeq lists it as uncharacterized. The record is from RefSeq and is a predicted model, not a curated record. The transcript is spliced from 2 exons. Lineage: Eukaryota; Metazoa; Porifera; Demospongiae; Haplosclerida; Niphatidae.